UAAGGUGAAUUGCAAAAUUCAUGGAAUCAUCGAAUCUUUGAACCCACCUUGCGUUCCUUGGUAUUCCUUGAACCUGGCCGGUUUAAUUAUCAGGAAAUUCUCAAAGUAAACCUUUGGUUAAUUCAACUGUUCUUUGCUUGGAUUGGAGGCUUUGC
Molecule: ribosomal RNA, 155 nt
Filed under: Rhizoctonia sp. EF-33
Lineage: Eukaryota; Fungi; Basidiomycota; Agaricomycetes; Cantharellales; Ceratobasidiaceae
Description: 5.8S ribosomal RNA
Source: RNAcentral